This is a non-coding RNA of Malus domestica (apple), 2292 nucleotides long. Lineage: Eukaryota; Viridiplantae; Streptophyta; Magnoliopsida; Rosales; Rosaceae. The record is from RefSeq and is a predicted model, not a curated record.
CAGAAUCUGUUAAGCAUAAAUACAUAACGAACAAUGAAAACCAACUCAAACCGCAGAAUGGCAACUUUGAAAGUGAGUUUGAGCGGCACUGCUGCUCCUACUUCUUCACCAUCACCAUCUCUGAAAUCUUGGCCACACAUCUCAGAUUCUCCCCCCAAGAUUUCAGUGGUAGCCAGAUUUCCAAACGCCACCGUAUUAACUCCUCCCAAGCUCCGUCUUCAGGCUUCUCUGGGGAAGAAAACCAGAGCUUCAGUCUCUGCAGCUAUGGAAACCGGUGGGCAAGAAGUUCUUCCACCAGCUCUUACUUCUACGUCGGACCCACCUCCAAUCUUCAAUGGAAAUACAAGGCUGUAUAUAGACCAAGCCCCUUAAUCGUCGAUGAUUGUUAUGAAGAGGGUUGGAGGAAAAGAUACAAUUGGUUUCUAUUGAUCUGCAAGACAGGCCUGCUUGGUACAAGGAGAAAGUCUACCUUGCUAACAAGGUGAGCUUUUGUGACUAGAGCAUAUGCUACAAGGCUGGUUUCAUUUAUCUUGUGCUGCAUUAGAACGAAAUGCUCUCGUAUCAUAAGGCAUCUAAAAUACCGCCCUGUGGUGGAGUAAUUAGAUGAAGAAGAGAAGACAAUGGCAUAUUUCCAGGCCAUUAUGUCUGCACAAAGUUUCUUUGUGAUCCGUAUGCUUAAUUAACCGUUUUAUUUUCUCUACGAGGUGUGUCUGGUAUGAAAUUUGAACGCCGGUGCCAUCACUCGAACACAAUAACGAAGUGAGAGGAUACAUUGGCAGUCACUUUGAAGGGCCUUCACUGUUCCCUGAUGAUCCCGCGAAGAAAGAGUUUGGGGAAGAGUUGCUGUCCUACACAGACUCCUUCAAUAGAUCUGUGUUUUCGUCAGUAAAACAAGAUGAAAUCGAGUCAGCUGGUGAAACGAUCACUUGCUCCUUUCAAUGUUACUAUUUAAGUUGCAAUUAAGCUAAUGUAACCAUAGUCGCGAGUGUAAGCAGAUUGGACAUUUGACUAUAUCGAAACUGCUCUUUCCAAAUUGGAAGACGGACCUCUCUUUCUCGGCAAGUUUAGUCUGGUGGAUAUAGCGCUUACGCUCCCUCCCUCGGAAGGUUUCAGCUUUACUUGAUGGACUUGAAGAAGUAUGACAUCGCUGCAGGGAGACCUAAACUGGCAGCAUGGAUUGAGGUACAAAACGAUUGGAUUCCGAAUUUGAUAGAAAAGGUUACUCAUGUGAAUACAUAUCACUUGUUUGUAGGAGAUGAACAAAAAAUGUAGCUUACAAACAAACCCGAUGUGACCCCAAAGAGCUUGUCGAACUUUAUAGGAGACGCUUUUCGGUAAUAAUCUUCUUGCAGCAUGUUAGCAAGUCAAUUAUCGUUGUUGCCAAAUGCUAAUCUCUUAUGCCUCGUUUACUAAUCCGUAUUCAGAUUGAGAGGAGAAUUGAAUUAACGAGGGAUUGAAUUGAGGAGAAAUUGGUUUACUAAUUCUUCUUUCUUCUUCUUGUUCUAAAUAACUAAUUAAUUAUUUCUCUCUUAUGUCUGCUGCUGCACUGGGUUUUGAUGUGAAACCGGAAGGCGCUGGGUGUUUUGAACGGCACCGUAUGGAAGAGAGGAGAUACGGGUAUUUUGGGUAGAAAAAACUGAUUUCGGAUGAAGGUUUUCUCCCGGAAUUGAAAUACCACUUAUCUGAUUCCGGGAAAAUCAGGAAUCUGAUUCCUUAUUUUAGGUGGGUCGCACGUAUAAUUGCAUUCCCCAAUGUUGGUAAACGCUUGAAGCACUUGGAAUAAGUGCAAUUCUCAUUCCUCUCACUCCAUUCCCCUUACGUAGAGAUUGUUGGAUAAUGGCCAAAUUAGUGGUCAAGUGGACAACAAGCCAAAUCACAUUUCGGCUAUUAAACAAACCAAAAGAAUGAAGGACAUAAUGAUGUGGGAACAUCAUUAGGAGGUUUUCCUUUAUGAUGUGGCCACAUGAGUGGCAAUUAUGAUGUUUGUUCUUUUUGUUUAUAUUAAGGCAUUUGGUUAUGCCUUUGGUUUUGGGGGUUGGGAACGGCAGAUUAGACAGAAGAAGAGGUGGGUUGCUGUUUUCUAUCCUCCAUUUGUGCCAUCAUUCAUUAUAAGAUAUUGUGCUACAUUUUUUGGCUUUUGGGAGAGAAGAAUUUGAUAUGUGUUUCUUCUUCUCCAUUUGUUCUUUGUAUGAGCAAGAGCUAUUGGGUGUAUAUGGGAUAUUGGGUUUGAGAGUUCAACUCUAUUUGUAAUUUCCAUUUUGAUAUUAGUGGAAUUUCCUCGCCAUCUCUGAA